UGAUCUAUCAUAAGAGGUCAGGUUGUC
RNAcentral lists this non-coding RNA (27 nucleotides) under Mus musculus (house mouse). The record is from RNAcentral. Lineage: Eukaryota; Metazoa; Chordata; Mammalia; Rodentia; Muridae.